This is a non-coding RNA of Triticum aestivum (bread wheat), 134 nucleotides long. The record is from Rfam. NCBI's taxonomy places the organism in Eukaryota, Viridiplantae, Streptophyta, Magnoliopsida, Poales, Poaceae.
UUUGUACUCCCUCCGUCCGAAAAUACUUGUCAUCAAAAUGAACAAAAAAAAUGCAUGUAGAACUUAAAUAUAUUUAGAUACAUCUCCGUUUAUUUAUUUUGAUGACAAGUAUUUCCGGACGGAGAAAGUAGAAA